RNAcentral lists this transfer RNA (89 nucleotides) under Aspergillus ustus. It matches the Rfam family "tRNA". From Rfam's summary of the family: Transfer RNA (tRNA) molecules are approximately 80 nucleotides in length. Their secondary structure includes four short double-helical elements and three loops (D, anti-codon, and T loops). Further hydrogen bonds mediate the characteristic L-shaped molecular structure. tRNAs have two regions of fundamental functional importance: the anti-codon, which is responsible for specific mRNA codon recognition, and the 3' end, to which the tRNAs corresponding amino acid is attached (by aminoacyl-tRNA synthetases). tRNAs cope with the degeneracy of the genetic code in two manners: having more than one tRNA (with a specific anti-codon) for a particular amino acid; and 'wobble' base-pairing, i.e. permitting non-standard base-pairing at the 3rd anti-codon position. The record is from Rfam by way of RNAcentral. Lineage: Eukaryota; Fungi; Ascomycota; Eurotiomycetes; Eurotiales; Aspergillaceae.
GGGCGCUUGGUCUAGUUGGUAUGAUAUCCCAUUCGCAUUUCUAAGUAUGUAACUUGGGAAGGCCCCGGGUUCGAUUCCCGGAGUGUCCA